This 440-nucleotide ribosomal RNA is filed under the name uncultured bacterium. RNAcentral's name for it is "partial 16S ribosomal RNA". It matches the Rfam family "Bacterial small subunit ribosomal RNA", at positions 338 to 795 of the family's 1533-position model. The record is from RNAcentral.
CCUACGGGGCGCAGCAGUGGGGGAUAUUGCACAAUGGGGGGAACCCUGAUGCAGCGACGCCGCGUGGGUGAAGAAGCGCCUCGGCGCGUAAAGCCCUGUCAGCAGGGAAGAAAAUGACGGUACCUGAAGAAGAAGCCCCGGCUAACUACGUGCCAGCAGCCGCGGGAAUACGUAGGGGGCAAGCGUUAUCCGGAUUUACUGGGUGUAAAGGGGGCGCAGACGGCGUUGCAAGCAAGGAGUGAAAGCCCGGGGCCCAACCCCGGGACUGCUCUUGGAACUGCGUGGCUGGAGUGCAGGAGGGGCAGGCGGAAUUCCUGGUGUAGCGGUGAAAUGCGUAGAUAUCAGGAGGAACACCGGUGGCGAAGGCGGCCUGCUGGACUGCAACUGACGUUGAGGCCCGAAAGCGUGGGGAGCAAACAGGAUUAGAUACCCCGGUAGUC